Molecule: transfer RNA, 74 nt
Filed under: Haplopteris ensiformis
Lineage: Eukaryota; Viridiplantae; Streptophyta; Polypodiopsida; Polypodiales; Pteridaceae
Description: tRNA-Asn
Rfam family: tRNA
About the family: Transfer RNA (tRNA) molecules are approximately 80 nucleotides in length.
Source: RNAcentral
UUCCUCGGUAGCUCAGCGGUAGAGCGGUCGGCUGUUAACCGAUUGGUCGUAGGUUCGAAUCCUAUCCGGGGAGA